UACGUAGGUGGCAAGCGUUGUCCGGAUUUACUGGGUGUAAAGGGCGUGUAGCCGGGUUGACAAGUCAGAUGUGAAAUCCUGCGGCUUAACCGCAGAACUGCAUUUGAAACUGUUGAUCUUGAGUACUGGAGAGGCAGACGGAAUUCCUAGUGUAGCGGUGAAAUGCGUAGAUAUUAGGAGGAACACCAGUGGCGAAGGCGGUCUGCUGGACAGCAACUGACGGUGAGGCGUGAAAGCGUGGGGAGCAAACAGG
This 253-nucleotide ribosomal RNA is filed under the name uncultured bacterium. RNAcentral describes it as "partial 16S ribosomal RNA". It matches the Rfam family "Bacterial small subunit ribosomal RNA", at positions 524 to 776 of the family's 1533-position model. The record is from RNAcentral.